RNAcentral lists this ribosomal RNA (253 nucleotides) under uncultured bacterium. Its description in RNAcentral is "partial 16S ribosomal RNA". It matches the Rfam family "Bacterial small subunit ribosomal RNA", at positions 524 to 776 of the family's 1533-position model. The record is from RNAcentral.
UACGUAGGGUGCGAGCGUUAAUCGGAAUUACUGGGCGUAAAGCGUGCGUAGGCGGUUCGUUAAGAUCGUUGUGAAAGCCCCGGGCUCAACCUGGGAAUGGCAAUGGAAACUGGCGGGCUGGAGUAUGGCAGAGGGGGGUGGAAUUCCGCGUGUAGCAGUGAAAUGCGUAGAGAUGCGGAGGAACACCGAUGGCGAAGGCAGCCCCCUGGGCCAAUACUGACGCUCAGGCACGAAAGCGUGGGGAGCAAACAGG